Notolabrus celidotus (New Zealand spotty) is the source of this 278-nucleotide long non-coding RNA. RefSeq lists it as uncharacterized. The record is from RefSeq and is a predicted model, not a curated record. NCBI's taxonomy places the organism in Eukaryota, Metazoa, Chordata, Actinopteri, Labriformes, Labridae. The transcript is spliced from 2 exons.
ACAAAGUGCCUAGCUUAUUCAUAAUAAUCGAACCAACGCUGGCCCCAAUAAUCCGAAGCUGGACCAGGUUGAAUCAGCAGUUCAGCAACACUGAGACUGGCACCAAAGCAUGCUCCUUACUGAGCACCCAGAGAACUACUCAGCCUAGCAUACUGAGCUAGCACGGCAUCUCUACAGGAGUGGGAGCAGGACCAGUGCCGCUCCAGACAUCACUGGAACAGUACGGGAUGAAUCUGCAGGAAAGAGACAAUCACAAUAGUCACACUAACUCAAAGUCA